RNAcentral lists this ribosomal RNA (497 nucleotides) under uncultured bacterium. RNAcentral describes it as "partial 16S ribosomal RNA". It matches the Rfam family "Bacterial small subunit ribosomal RNA", at positions 28 to 507 of the family's 1533-position model. The record is from RNAcentral.
GAUGAACGCUGGCGGCGUGCCUAAUACAUGCAAGUCGAGCGAACAGACGAGGAGCUUGCUCCUCUGACGUUAGCGGCGGACGGGUGAGUAACACGUGGAUAACCUACCUAUAAGACUGGGAUAACUUCGGGAAACCGGAGCUAAUACCGGAUAAUAUAUUGAACCGCAUGGUUCAAUAGUGAAAGACGGUUUUGCUGUCACUUAUAGAUGGAUCCGCGCCGCAUUAGCUAGUUGGUAAGGUAACGGCUUACCAAGGCGACGAUGCGUAGCCGACCUGAGAGGGUGAUCGGCCACACUGGAACUGAGACACGGUCCAGACUCCUACGGGAGGCAGCAGUAGGGAAUCUUCCGCAAAGGGCGAAAGCCUGACGGAGCAACGCCGCGUGAGUGAUGAAGGUCUUCGGAUCGUAAAACUCUGUUAUUAGGGAAGAACAAAUGUGUAAGUAACUAUGCACGUCUUGACGGUACCUAAUCAGAAAGUCACGGCUAACUACGUG